AGACCCGAAACCCGGUGAUCUAGCCAUGGGCAGGUUGAAGGUUGGGUAACACUAACUGGAGGACCGAACCGACUAAUGUUGAAAAAUUAGCGGAUGACCUGUGGCUGGGGGUGAAAGGCCAAUCAAACCGGGAGAUAGCUGGUUCUCCCCGAAAGCUAUUUAGGUAGCGCCUCGUGAAUUCAUCUCCGGGGGUAGAGCACUGUUUCGGCUAGGGGGCCAUCCCGGCUUACCAACCCGAUGCAAACUGCGAAUACCGGAGAAUGUUAUCACGGGAGACACACGGCGGGUGCUAACGUCCGUCGUGAAGAGGGAAACAACCCAGACCGCCAGCUAAGGUCCCAAAGUCAUGGUUAAGUGGGAAACGAUGUGGGAAGGCCCAGACAGCCAGGAUGUUGGCUUAGAAGCAGCCAUCAUUUAAAGAAAGCGUAAUAGCUCACUGGUCGAGUCGGCCUGCGCGGAAGAUGUAACGGGGCUAAACCAUGCACCGAAGCUGCGGCAGCGAACGUAUCACCCAAGACAACUUUACGGAGUUGACGAUUGACGGAGCGAAGCGACGUCAAAGCGUUCAUUAAAGUCGAGUUGGCUUAGGGAUACGUUCGUUGGGUAGGGGAGCGUUCUGUAAGCCUGUGAAGGUGUGUCGUGAGGCAUGCUGGAGGUAUCAGAAGUGCGAAUGCUGACAUAAGUAACGAUAAAGCGGGUGAAAAGCCCGCUCGCCGGAAGACCAAGGGUUCCUGUCCAACGUUAAUCGGGGCAGGGUGAGUCGACCCCUAAGGCGAGGCCGAAAGGCGUAGUCGAUGGGAAACGGGUUAAUAUUCCCGUACUUGGUGUUACUGCGAAGGGGGGACGGAGAAGGCUAUGUUGGCCGGGCGACGGUUGUCCCGGUUUAAGCGUGUAGGUGUGUGUUCCAGGUAAAUCCGGUUCACUUUAACACUGAGGCGUGACGACGAGGCACUACGGUGCUGAAGCAACAAAUGCCCUGCUUCCAGGAAAAGCCUCUAAGCAUCAGGUAACACGAAAUCGUACCCCAAACCGACACAGGUGGUCAGGUAGAGAAUACCAAGGCGCUUGAGAGAACUCGGGUGAAGGAACUAGGCAAAAUGGUGCCGUAACUUCGGGAGAAGGCACGCUGACACGUAGGUGAAGUGAUUUACUCAUGGAGCUGAAGUCAGUCGAAGAUACCAGCUGGCUGCAACUGUUUAUUAAAAACACAGCACUGUGCAAACACGAAAGUGGACGUAUACGGUGUGACGCCUGCCCGGUGCCGGAAGGUUAAUUGAUGGGGUCAGCGUAAGCGAAGCUCCUGAUCGAAGCCCCGGUAAACGGCGGCCGUAACUAUAACGGUCCUAAGGUAGCGAAAUUCCUUGUCGGGUAAGUUCCGACCUGCACGAAUGGCGUAAUGAUGGCCAGGCUGUCUCCACCCGAGACUCAGUGAAAUUGAACUCGCUGUGAAGAUGCAGUGUACCCGCGGCAAGACGGAAAGACCCCGUGAACCUUUACUAUAGCUUGACACUGAACAUUGAGCCUUGAUGUGUAGGAUAGGUGGGAGGCUUUGAAGUGUGGACGCCAGUCUGCAUGGAGCCGACCUUGAAAUACCACCCUUUAAUGUUUGAUGUUCUAACGUGGACCCGUAAUCCGGGUUGCGGACAGUGUCUGGUGGGUAGUUUGACUGGGGCGGUCUCCUCCUAAAGAGUAACGGAGGAGCACGAAGGUUGGCUAAUCCUGGUCGGACAUCAGGAGGUUAGUGCAAUGGCAUAAGCCAGCUUGACUGCGAGCGUGACGGCGCGAGCAGGUGCGAAAGCAGGUCAUAGUGAUCCGGUGGUUCUGAAUGGAAGGGCCAUCGCUCAACGGAUAAAAGGUACUCCGGGGAUAACAGGCUGAUACCGCCCAAGAGUUCAUAUCGACGGCGGUGUUUGGCACCUCGAUGUCGGCUCAUCACAUCCUGGGGCUGAAGUAGGUCCCAAGGGUAUGGCUGUUCGCCAUUUAAAGUGGUACGCGAGCUGGGUUUAGAACGUCGUGAGACAGUUCGGUCCCUAUCUGCCGUGGGCGCUGGAGAACUGAGGGGGGCUGCUCCUAGUACGAGAGGACCG
This 2087-nucleotide ribosomal RNA is filed under the name Salmonella enterica. RNAcentral describes it as "partial 23S ribosomal RNA". It matches the Rfam family "Bacterial large subunit ribosomal RNA", at positions 711 to 2694 of the family's 2925-position model. Lineage: Bacteria; Pseudomonadati; Pseudomonadota; Gammaproteobacteria; Enterobacterales; Enterobacteriaceae. The record is from RNAcentral.